This 528-nucleotide ribosomal RNA is filed under the name uncultured bacterium. RNAcentral's name for it is "bacterial SSU rRNA". It matches the Rfam family "Bacterial small subunit ribosomal RNA", at positions 777 to 1304 of the family's 1533-position model. The record is from RNAcentral.
AAUAGAUACCCGGGUAGUCCACGCCGUAAACGAUGAGUGCUAAGUGUUAGAGGGCUUCCACCCUUUAGUGCUGCAGCUAACGCAUUAAGCACUCCGCCUGGGGAGUACGGCCGCAAGGCUGAAACUCAAAGGAAUUGACGGGGGCCCGCACAAGCGGUGGAGCAUGUGGUUUAAUUCGAAGCAACGCGAAGAACCUUACCAGGUCUUGACAUCCUUCGCUACCUCUAGAGAUAGAGGGUUCCCCUUCGGGGGACGGAGUGACAGGUGGUGCAUGGUUGUCGUCAGCUCGUGUCGUGAGAUGUUGGGUUAAGUCCCGCAACGAGCGCAACCCUUGACCUUAGUUGCCAGCAUUCAGUUGGGCACUCUAAGGUGACUGCCGGUGACAAACCGGAGGAAGGUGGGGAUGACGUCAAAUCAUCAUGCCCCUUAUGACCUGGGCUACACACGUGCUACAAUGGAUGGUACAAAGGGUCGCGAAACCGCGAGGUGGAGCUAAUCCCAAAAACCAUUCUCAGUUCGGAUUGCAGG